GGCGUAAAGCGCACGCAAGCGGUCUGUCAAAGUCGGAUGUGAAAUCCCCGGGCUCAACCUGGGAACUGCAUUCGAAACUGGCAGGCUAGAGUCUUGUAGAGGGGGGUAGAAUUCCAGGUGUAGCGGUGAAAUGCGUAGAGAUCUGGAGGAAUACCGGUGGCGAAGGCGGCCCCCUGGACAAAGACUGACGCUCAGGUGCGAAAGCGUGGGGAGCAAACAGGAUUAGAUACCCUGGUAGUCCACGCCGUAAACGAUGUCGACUUGGAGGUUGUGCCCUUGAGGCGUGGCUUCCGGAGCUAACGCGUUUAGUCGACCGCCUGGGGAGUACAGCCGCAAGGUUAUUUCUCAAUUGAAUUGACGGGGGCCCGCACUAGCGGUGGAGCAUGUGGUUUAAUUCGUUGCAACGCGAAGAACCUUACCUACUCUUGACUUCCAAAGAACUUAGCAGAGAUGCUUUGGUGCCUUCGGGAACUCUGAGACAGGUGCUGCAUGGCUGUCGUCAGCUCGUGUUGUGAAAUGUUGGGUUAAGUCCCGCAACGUGCGCAACCCUUAUCCUUUGUUGCCAGCGGACCGGCCGGGAACUCAAAGGGAGUCUGACAGAGAUAAAACUGGAAGAAGGUGGGGAUGACAUCAAGUCAUCAUGGACCUUUAAUGAUGGGAUACACACGUGCUUCAAUGGCAUUGGGAAAGUGUAGCGACCUCACGAUGUGCAAGCGGUCCUCAUAAAGUAUGUCGUUAAACAGGAUUUGAUAUCUGCAACUCAACUCCAUGUAGUCGGAAUCGCUUGAAAUCGAUGAUCCAGUUUGAAUACAGGUGAAAUUACGAUUCCCGGGGCACUUGAUACACACCGCCACGAUCACACACAUGGAUGAUGGGGUUGCAAAAGAAGGUAGGAAGACUAUAACACUACGGGUGGACACAUUGCCAACUUUUGUGAUUCAUGAAAUGGGGGU
RNAcentral lists this ribosomal RNA (953 nucleotides) under Klebsiella sp. RNAcentral's name for it is "bacterial SSU rRNA". It matches the Rfam family "Bacterial small subunit ribosomal RNA", at positions 557 to 1533 of the family's 1533-position model. Lineage: Bacteria; Pseudomonadati; Pseudomonadota; Gammaproteobacteria; Enterobacterales; Enterobacteriaceae. The record is from RNAcentral.